AAAAUUUAAAUUUAAAAUACUAAAAUAGUAAAUAAAUGUUUAUUGAAACUUAAAUAAUUUGGCGGUAUUUUAGUUCAUUUAGAGGAAUCUGUUUAAUAAUUGAUAAUCCACGAAUAAAUUUACUUAAUUUAUAAUUUUGUAUAUCGUUGUUAAAAAAAUAUUUUUUAAUAAAAUUAAUAUUUAAAAAUUAGAAUAUAAAUUUAAAUCAGAUCAAGAUGCAGAUUAUAAUUAAGAAUAUAAUGGAUUACAAUAAAUUUAUUUAAAUGGAUUUUAAUUUGUAAAAAUUAAUUGAAAGUGGAUUUAAAUGUAAUUUUAUUUAAUUUAAUAAAAUGAUUAAAAAUUAAAAUAUGU
RNAcentral lists this ribosomal RNA (351 nucleotides) under Feraxinia nyei. RNAcentral describes it as "partial 12S small subunit ribosomal RNA". The record is from RNAcentral. Lineage: Eukaryota; Metazoa; Arthropoda; Insecta; Lepidoptera; Noctuidae.